Non-coding RNA from Coprinopsis sp. MPI-PUGE-AT-0042, 83 nucleotides. NCBI's taxonomy places the organism in Eukaryota, Fungi, Basidiomycota, Agaricomycetes, Agaricales, Psathyrellaceae. The record is from the annotation of a GenBank genome assembly.
GACCCCUUAGCUCAGUGGUAGAGCGUGUGAUUCCAGUAACUGGCAUGUCCACAAGGUCAUCCGUUCAACUCGGGUAGGGGUCA